Molecule: long non-coding RNA, 685 nt
Filed under: Volvox carteri
Lineage: Eukaryota; Viridiplantae; Chlorophyta; Chlorophyceae; Chlamydomonadales; Volvocaceae
Description: long non-coding RNA (VCAR_LNC003637)
Source: RNAcentral
AACUAGUUACCCGGAGGGGGCCGAUGCGGUUCAUCCGAAGGAGGUCUCGCGAAGGGCCGAGCUACCGUGUGGAGCUGCAUUCUAUCCGGAAGGCCAGCCCAGGGGGCAUGCUUUCGCGCAGCGAAGCGCCCAGGCUGAGGCGCCUUAGGACGUUAGGUUUAGUUGCAAGCAUCCGGAAGGCCAGCCCAGCGGGUAUGCUGUCGCGCAGCGAAGCACCCAGGCUGAUUUGCCUUGGGCCGGCAGGUUUUGGUCGCAUGCAUCCGGAAGGCCAGCCCCAGCGGGUAUGCUGUCGCGCGGCGAAGCACCCAGGCUGAGUUGCCUUGGGCCGGUAGGUUUGGUCGCAUGCAUCCGGAAGGCCAGCCCCAGCGGGUAUGCUCUCGCGCGGCGAAGCACCCAGGCUGAGUUGCCUUGGGCCGGCAGGUUUUGGUCGCAUGCAUCCGGAAGGCCAGCCCCAGCGGGUUUGCUGUCGCGCGGUGAAGCACCCAGGCUGAGUUGCCUUGGGCCGGUAGGUUUGGUCGCAUGCAUCCGGAAGGCCAGCCCCAGCGGGUAUGCUCUCGCGCGGCGAAGCACCCAGGCUGAGUUGCCUUAGGCCGGUAGGUUUGGUCGCAUACAUCCGGAAGGCCAGCCCCAGCGGGUAUGCUCUCGCGUGGCGAAGCACCCAGGCUGAGUUGCCUUAGGCCGGUAG